RNAcentral lists this transfer RNA (62 nucleotides) under Sagaminopteron nigropunctatum. RNAcentral's name for it is "tRNA-Pro". Lineage: Eukaryota; Metazoa; Mollusca; Gastropoda; Cephalaspidea; Gastropteridae. The record is from RNAcentral.
UCAAAAACAGUCCUGAGACGCUAACUUUGGGAGUUAGAGAGUGACUGAUAGUCAUUUUUGAA